This 955-nucleotide long non-coding RNA is filed under the name Anas platyrhynchos platyrhynchos (common mallard). Its description in RNAcentral is "lncRNA (ENSAPLG00000017389.1)". The record is from RNAcentral. Lineage: Eukaryota; Metazoa; Chordata; Aves; Anseriformes; Anatidae.
CUUUGAUCUUAUUUAUUGAAGUUGUCUUUGUGAAAUAUGUUCCUUUUAAAAGUCAGUUAUUAGAAGUUCAGAAUAAUGAGACCAUUAAAAUAACUCAGCACAGGCUGGGAUCAAUUAAAAUAAAUGGGGAGGAAUAAGGACCUUAAGAACAAGUUGCUUCAUCAGGGAAUUCAGCACUCAGCUGUGCCUACCUUGGCUUCAGCAUAUACAGCACGUAUAUUCCUACUGUCUGGACUCAGAGUUGUAUAUAGCUGAAUGUCAUGGGUAUUGAAUCAACUAAAACGUAGUAUAUAACUUUUUUAAGGUAGAAAGAUUGUUUUUAAAAAGCACAGUGUGUUCCAUUACACUGACAAGGAAUUUAAUGGUCUCUUUCUUUUACAGCCAGAUGUAAUUGUUGUAUCAGCUCUCCAGGUAUAUAAGCACACGCUGAAGUUUAUUUUGAUCCAGUAAAUCAGGUAUUUAAGGCUAGACUAUUCACAGGGCUGAACGUCUUUCAGUGGGAUUUGGGGAAUUUAACCUCCUUUUGUUGAAAAUUGCAGCCAAAGUACUUAACUGGAUAGGGAUGAACAAGCUUAACUGGAAUUUUUUAAGCUCACCAAAUCUGCUGCUUUCUUCCCAAAGUAGAACUAAAUAUAAAGGGGAGACAUUGCCGAAUACCUUACAUAGGGAGAUUUUUUUUUUUUUUUUCUGAUGAGACAUAAACCAACAAAGCAAUUAUCAGCAUGAAGAAGAGAUCCAGAAAGAAACACAGCAGCAAGAGAAUAAAACUUGGAGGAGGAAAUCAGAUGCACAGUGUCCCUUGUGGCUUGAAAGUAGGGACACAUCUGGCAUUAAAUACACUUGUGAUGGUGCCAACUGAAUGCACACACGCCACAACCUGCCUGAUGCUCCGAAGUGUGGGCGAGACAUUCGGUACCACAGGAAAUUGAUAAAAAAACAAGUAGCUGGAACAGGU